GGCCGCGUGGUCUAGUGGUAUGAUCUCGCUUCGGGUGCGAGAGGUCCCGGGUUCGAUCCCGGUGCGGCCC
Molecule: transfer RNA, 70 nt
Filed under: Pythium insidiosum
Lineage: Eukaryota; Oomycota; Peronosporomycetes; Pythiales; Pythiaceae
Description: tRNA-Pro
Rfam family: tRNA
About the family: Transfer RNA (tRNA) molecules are approximately 80 nucleotides in length. Their secondary structure includes four short double-helical elements and three loops (D, anti-codon, and T loops).
Source: RNAcentral